UGUGGAAGGCUUUUUUUUUCUUCAGAGGCAAUACGCAAAAGAGAUGACCUUCCAAGAGAGUAGCUCUCCUGCAGGCGAUAGAAGAUAUCAAAGCUAAAGUGGCUGAGGUGGAGCACUUUGACAGUGUGGUCAAGAAGCUGAACGCUGAGUCUCCAGGACACACAGAAAGAAAGAAUCAGAAGGCAAGAAAAGCCAUCAUAUUUAGACCUAAGAUCCAGCAGGUAAAACAGGAGCUGGGAGGAUGAGCAAGGGAGCGUUGCAGAGGGACGAGAGCAAGAAUUUGCCAGUCAGGAUGAAAAACUUCUAAUGGAAUCCAGCUUGAAAGCAAGUCAAGAGCAGCUAAGUGAGCAAAGAGCAGAAACCAUUUGCACAGACCAGUAGAAAAUCACAGACAGAGCUGAAGCCACUGAGAGAACGCAUUAUAGAUUCUCAUGAAGAAAGUAGUGAUUACAAUGCCCCAAGGAUAUUCGAAUAAGGACAUUUUUGAAGCUCUGAAUCACAGCCAACCAUAGGAUAUGGAAACGUGAGUUAUGAGGCUUCAAAAACUCACUACAAACCUGGAAGCAAAUGUGGUGAAUCUCAGCCAGAAAAAGGACACUUGGAUGGCCUAUAUUCUUUCUCUGUGAUUCAGCUUGCAUUACAUUGUGAAAUGUAACCCAUGGUUAUUGCAUACUUCUGUGAACUUUUAACACUUCAAGUGGAUUAUAGUGUCUUAUUUUGAUUACAUUCAUAUUGUUCACUGUGAUAAAAUUAGGUUUUUAGUCAUUUUUUUUAAAAAAAUGUUUGGCUUAGAUCCACUGUAUUCAGGCAUGUACUAAGUGGAAAGAUUUAGACUGUAGGUCUUCAUAUUGUGCAUAUGUGGCACAUGUUAGCAAUUAAUCAAACUUUAGUCACCUCUAAUUAACAGCAAUACUGAGGCCAGAAUAUGGCAAAAACAGAUGACAAAAGAAUUGACUGUAAAGUAUACUGCAAGGGAAAAAAAUAUUCCAAGAACAUUGGAAUUCAGCUGUGUUUUUAAUCUUUUAAUAUUCUUCUAUUUAUGUGAAGAAAUUAGUGAGGUUCGUGUGUUUCAUAUGUUUGUAAAACUUCAAUUGCUGCCAUAAAUUUGCAAAAAUAAUAUGCCUAUAUUAAUGUAAUUAAUUAUACGAUGGACAACCUCAUCUUCAUACAUGUUGGUUUUAAUUAUGGGAAGUCAGACUUGGCCAAGGUGGUCCAUGCUCUGGAUACAUCUCACAUAGACUACUGUAAUGCACUCUGCAUAGGGCUGCCUCUGAAGACUGUUCGGGAGCUUCAAGUAGUGCAACAGGCAGCAGCCAGAUUGCUAACCGGAGUGGCAUAUAAGGGUACUUACAACUCCCCUGUUACAUCAGCUCCACUGGCUGCCAAUUUGCUUCUGAGCAGAAUUCAAAGUGCUGGCUUUAGCCUAUAAAUCCCUAAAUAGUUCCUGUCCAGCUUACUUGUCCAAACAUAUCUCCCUUUAUGAUCUGGUGCGAUUCUUAAGAUCUUCUGGGGAGGCCCUGCUCUUGAUCCCGCCCUCAUCACAGGUGUGGUUACAAGGACAAGAGACAGGGCCUUCUCAGUGGUAACCCCGUGGCUGUGGAACUCCCUCCCCAGUGACGUCAGAGCAGCCCCCUUGCACUUAAGCUUCAGGCAGAAUCUUAAGACCUGGAUAUUUAACCAAACCUUUGGGGAUUAAUAUGACUCCCAUAAUUAUGAUGGAAGAAUGGCAAAGCAAUUGGUUCAAUGUUUAAAAAACUCAGUUGGUGCUAGACUUUUGAUAUUUUUGAUAAGUUUUAAUUGAAAAACUAUUUAAUUGAUAAGUACAUUUUUAUAGUUUUAUAAUAUUGUGUUUUACUGAUAUUGUUAUUGUCUGAAUCUGGCAUUGAAUUAUUGCCAUUGUUUGUAAGCCUCCCUGAGUCCCCCUUUGGGGGUGAGAAGGGCAGAGUAUAAGUACACUAAAUAAAUAAAUAAAUAAAUAAAUAAAUAAAUAAUCAGGCUGUAGGACACUGCCCCAAAAAUAUUUGGUAGACUAUGUUACUCUAUGUCAGGGGUCCUCAAACUUUUUAAGCAGAGGGCUGGUUCAUGGUUCCUCAGGCUGUUGAAGGGUCUUGCCUAUAGUUUGAAAAAAAUGAAUCAAUUCCCAAGCACACUGCAUAGAUCUUAUUUGUAGUGAGGGGGGAAAUGAAAGAACAAUACAAUAUUUUAAAAGAAAAACAAUUUUAACGAACAUCAAUUUACUAGUAUUUCAAUGGGAAGUUUGAGCCUGCAUUUGGCUGAUGAGAUAGCCAAGUGAAUUAGGAUUUUUUUUUUGCUGUGUGCCUUCAAGUCAUUUCAGACUUAGGGUGAUCCUAAGUCUAAAGUUUAGGGCAGGUGAGGUAAAUGACUGCAUAGUCACAUCCAGCCCAUGGGCCUUAGUUUUAGUUUGGGGACCCCUACUCUAUGCAAAGAACGCAUAGAUUCCACUAUAUAUUUCAAAAUGCAGCAUUUCACCAUAUUUGUACUAAGAAGAGAAUGGUUGUUAGUGGGAUGUCUCUCUUCAUUUAUGUUGGUUUUAAUUAUUAGGGUAUGGAAUUAUCAGAUCAUACCAGACAAGAACAUAAACAGAGGCCAAUCUAGGGAGCAUUCAGUUUACAUAUUCUGUUUAGAAUUCAGCCUCUCUGAAGGUCCUAAAACAUGACAACAAUCACAGGCUUCUGCAUAUUCUCAGUGGCAUAGCAUGAUUACUGGGUAGCUGCCACCUGGACUGGUCCAGGAAGGGGUGGAAAGGGCAGUACAUUUUGGUGCUGAUCAAUUAUCCUUCCCAUUGAACAACAGUCAUGUAAAUCUUUUUAUGCCCUGCAAGGACGGCAUCCUUGAUGAGAAAAAUCAUAUUCACUGACAUAAACAGUAAAGGCUUGUUUUCUUGCAUUUUCUUCAUUUGUCUGAGUUUGGUUCCAUUGUCAAGAACACUUGUGAAAUAAUUUUUCAUGUUUUUGAAGUUUGUUCAGAUUUAACCAAUUUUGUUUUAUUAACAACUUUAAAGAUGGCUUUGUAAAUUUCCAUAACCAGCUGAGUAUUUUUCCGAAUACACAAAAUUCACACAACUGGGUUAUUUCAAAUCCAGUGAUCCAAUCUUUUGCAUUUGCAGUAAUGAUAUCUUUUGCCGUGAUUAUUCCUUAAGGAAUCUGGUGCUUGAAUUUGGUUUCUGUCAACUCUGUUAUCUUUACACAUGCUUUUUCAUUCAUGCUUACCAUUUUUUAUUCAAUUCUACUAAAGCCUAUGGAACUUACACUCUUCACUAUCACUUACUCUUACCCUUCUCUGGUGUCUUACAAAUACAGUGCAGCUCCCAUACCCAUGGGGCUAGUACAUGUGGUUACAUCUACCCAUAUCUGACAAUGUUUUAGGUCAUCCAGGGUGACUUUAUGGUAACUUCUGGAGGAAGUUUGCUAUUAUCCAUGGUUUCUAUAGUAAGCUGUAGAAAUGUGUCUCUCAUAGAUAUGCGGAUUAUACUGUGGCUUUGAGAUGUAGGUCCUAUUUCUGAAAACUCUUUCAUCAGUUUACUCCAUGAACCUCUUUUGAGUCAGUUAGCCUUUUCUGAAAUAGGGGAACCAUUCCAUCAGUGUAGUAGCAGCAUACUCUCUCCCCCAGAAUUUGGGAUUGCUCAAUGAAUCUGUAACAACAAAUUACAGAGAAACCCAUAUCAAAGAAGUAAGAUUGUCUCUUAGUGAUACACAA
Anolis sagrei ordinatus is the source of this 3717-nucleotide long non-coding RNA. RefSeq lists it as uncharacterized. The record is from RefSeq and is a predicted model, not a curated record. NCBI's taxonomy places the organism in Eukaryota, Metazoa, Chordata, Lepidosauria, Squamata, Anolidae.